UUAGCAUGGAGAUCACGAAGUCUGCUUUCCCCGAGUGUUCUGGGAGAAAACACAAGAACAGCUCAGAAAUGCUGGUGUCAUUCCUCCCCUGGAACAAAUGACCGGAAGGAGCGAGGGUGUUACAAACGUGAGGCAGACUGCAAGUGCUAAAACUGGGUCUGUACCUACUGUCAAGGUAGCAGAGUUCCUGCCACACUGUGUCUAGAGGACUACAUAGCGACAGCUAAUAGGAGAGCAACAGCAAGGCAAAUGAGAAUGAGAGACACAGACUGCUUCUGCAUACAUUUGUCUAUACAUUACUCAUUGCGGUCUAUGCUGCAUUGAGUAGCAGCUAGGAUCAAACUCGGGCUAUAAAAAGGAGAAUACUGGUAUAACACAUGAGGAUCUGGCCUCACAGAAUAAGACUUCAAAGGUACAAGUAAAACAAGAAUGGCCAUGACAACACUGCAAGUUACUUUUCAGUUAAGAUUACCCUUACAUUACAGGUUCGCUGCAGUGAUUCCAAGAAGUCAAUAACUGACACUUUCAGAAAAGAAUAAAGUACUACAGUACUUCUAGAUUAAAUUUUCAGGAGCACUCUGGCUCAAAUUUCACCUUCACUGAAUGAAUGCCAGCUGAAAAAGAAAAGCCAGCUUGAAAUAAAAUUGUGAAGAACAGUCACAAUAGGCAGAAGUGUUGCUUUAGAAUGUUCUGCCUA
Molecule: long non-coding RNA, 697 nt
Organism: Neopsephotus bourkii (Bourke's parrot)
Lineage: Eukaryota; Metazoa; Chordata; Aves; Psittaciformes; Psittacidae
Exons: 3
Source: RefSeq, a predicted model, not a curated record